Salmo salar (Atlantic salmon) is the source of this 54-nucleotide non-coding RNA. The record is from Rfam. Lineage: Eukaryota; Metazoa; Chordata; Actinopteri; Salmoniformes; Salmonidae.
UGCAUUCACUACUGUAAGUCACUCUGGAUAAGAGCGUCUGCUAAACGACUAAAA